Non-coding RNA from Schistosoma haematobium, 46 nucleotides. Lineage: Eukaryota; Metazoa; Platyhelminthes; Trematoda; Strigeidida; Schistosomatidae. The record is from Rfam.
GCAUUGCUGAGGAGUCCCAUAACAGGGCGAAACGGUCGUUCAGUAC